RNAcentral lists this long non-coding RNA (376 nucleotides) under Mytilus galloprovincialis (Mediterranean mussel). The record is from RNAcentral. Lineage: Eukaryota; Metazoa; Mollusca; Bivalvia; Mytilida; Mytilidae.
ACUUAGAAAUUAACACCUCAAAGGAACACAAAAAGAACCAUGCAAAUAUAACAUACUUGCAGGUUCUUGGAUGCCAUUUCGCAUUAGAAUCACAUCAUGCAGAAAUGCACCUUAUGUGAUCCUCAUCUUAUUUUGAGCUAUUUUCUGCUAUCCGAAAUAAAAAUUGUGGAACAUUCUAAUCGAAAUCAUUUGGCAAUACAUGCAAUCUUCUUCUUUACGUAAAUCUCUGCAGCGUUGGAGACCAUUCAGCUAGCUGUGUUCCCUCAAAGGAUCAUGUUAAAUGAAAAUGAAUGAAAUUUCACUUUUAAAAGUAACAAACAUAUAUCUCUAUGUAUUACGGGUAUGGUUGCUCAAUUUGCAAUGAUUAGUUUUAUUA